RNAcentral lists this ribosomal RNA (232 nucleotides) under uncultured bacterium. Its description in RNAcentral is "partial 16S ribosomal RNA". It matches the Rfam family "Bacterial small subunit ribosomal RNA", at positions 99 to 334 of the family's 1533-position model. The record is from RNAcentral.
CGGACGGGUGAGUAAUGUAUAGGAACUUGCCUAAUAGUGGGGGACAACGUGUGGAAACGCACGCUAAUACCGCAUACGCUCUACGGAGGAAAGCGGGGGAUCUUCGGACCACGUGCUAUUAGAUAGGCCUAUAUUGGAUUAGCUAGUUGGUAAGGUAAAGGCUUACCAAGGCGACGAUCCAUAGCUGGUUUGUGAGAAUGAUCAGCCACACUGGGACUGAGACACGGCCCAG